AUUGAACGCUGGCGGCAGGCCUAACACAUGCAAGUCGAGCGGUAGAGAGGUGCUUGCAUCUCUUGAGAGCGGCGGACGGGUGAGUAAUGCCUAGGAAUCUGCCUAGUGGUGGGGGAUAACGUUCGGAAACGGACGCUAAUACCGCAUACGUCCUACGGGAGAAAGCGGGGGAUCUUCGGACCUCGCGCCAUUAGAUGAGCCUAGGUCGGAUUAGCUAGUUGGUGAGGUAAUGGCUCACCAAGGCGACGAUCCGUAACUGGUCUGAGAGGAUGAUCAGUCACACUGGAACUGAGACACGGUCCAGACUCCUACGGGAGGCAGCAGUGGGGGAAUAUUGGACAAUGGGCGAAAGACCUGAUCCAGCCAUGCCGCGUGUGUGAAGAAGGUCUUCGGAUU
RNAcentral lists this ribosomal RNA (396 nucleotides) under uncultured bacterium. Its description in RNAcentral is "bacterial SSU rRNA". It matches the Rfam family "Bacterial small subunit ribosomal RNA", at positions 30 to 424 of the family's 1533-position model. The record is from RNAcentral.